UAGGGAGACCUAAUCCAUUUAGAACUUGAAAGCAAUGAAAAUUGCUAAUAGAGCCUAAAUUGGUCUAACCUAGGUCGGUCGCAGACUUGAAGUAAAGCUUUCAAACUAUGAUUUGGUUCGAUAAGGGCUAUUAGCUCAGGUGGUUAGAGCGCACCCCUGAUAAGGGUGAGGUCCCUGGUUCGAGUCCAGGAUGGCCCACCUGAACCAAUUAAAAAUGCAAAAUUAAGAAUUAAAAAUGCAGAAUAUCUUUGUUUUUAAUUUUUAAUUAUCAAUUUUUAAUUGUUUUUGGGGGUUUAGCUCAGUUGGUAGAGCGCCUGCUUUGCAAGCAGGAUGUCAGCGGUUCGAGUCCGCUAACCUCCACAUUUGGAAAAAAAACAGCAACUGAAACUAUUAAUGAUAGUUUUUGACUGCUGGGUUAAAUUCCAGCCAGAACCUUGAAAAUGAAAGUGUUUCGUGAAAGCAACCAGAAAAAAUUGU
Molecule: transfer RNA, 477 nt
Filed under: Dolichospermum lemmermannii 'BC Ana 0010'
Lineage: Bacteria; Bacillati; Cyanobacteriota; Cyanophyceae; Nostocales; Aphanizomenonaceae
Rfam family: tRNA (bases 288-360)
Source: RNAcentral